GCAGACAUUAUUUUUACCAAAUUGGCUUAUCAACAUUAGACUGCAAUUUAGUUUAGGUAAAGACACUGCAAACAACGUCCGGAGGGCAUGUUUGAUUGAAACAGCAGUUCAGAAUACUUUGAUGAUGUAUUCACUCUGUAGCCUACAGUAUAGAAAUGUCACACUGUAAACCAGAGCUAUAUCCGCUAUAGACAAAAAGCUUUAUUUGUGUUUUUCCCAUUUUUCCCCAUAGCUUUCCUUUGCCAAAACAAGAACAUUUCAUAUGAAAUCCAAACAUGUUUUAUCCACAUUAAAACCAACUAAAAAUAAAUUGAUCUGAUAACCACACCAUGUUCUUCACCUUAAAAAAAAGCAUUACAGGACUACAAGUACCAGAAUGCAUUGUGAUACAAGCAGGAAAACAACAACAACAAUAGCAAACGGCUGAUUCUCUGUUUGGCUGCAGAGACUGGUACCCUCGUCGCUCUAAUAUUUCAAGGGUCUACAAUAUAAUUUCAUUUCACAUAUGAAUAACUUCUGCUGCCUCUUUGAAAAGUAAAGUAAGAAAUAACAUGGAAUAAAGUCAAAUAUAAAAGUUGUAUUUAGCUCACUUUUCUCUGAAAUGUAGUUUAUUUCUGCGUUCAUUCGGAUGUUCUCGGCCAGCUCUCUGUAAAUGGUCGGUCAUGACCGGGGAGAGGAGUGUUCUAUCACAAAGCCACAACAUUACUCUCAUACACUUCAGUCCCCCAGUCUUUUUAGUGAAACGGAAAAGUCCAUUUUGAAAAGCGGAAGUGCAUCUGAGAUUCCAAACUCCAAACUGGAGGUCUGGCUCCCUUUCCGUCCCCUUUAAGUGUACAUGGAGGUCUGGCUCCCUUUCCAUCCCCUUUAAGUGUACAUGGAGGUCUGGCUCCCUUUCCGUCCCCUUUAAGUGUACAUGGAGGUCUGGCUCCCUUUCCGUCCCCUUUAAGUGUACAUGGAGGUCUGGCUCCCUUUCCGUCCCCUUUAAGUGUACAUGGAGGUCUGGCUCCCUUUCCAUCCACUUUAAGUGUACAUGGAGGUCUGGCUCCCUUUCCAUCACCUUUAAGUGUACAUGGAGGUCUGGCUCCCUUAGUGUUGCACAAUACAUGGGGAUCUCACAUUGUCCAUUCCCCUCGUGAUGACAGACCCUCAGUCUCCACAAUGACCCAGCGGUCAACAGCCUUAGUACUGGGACUCAGACAAGAGGACCUGACAUAGCAAUGGGCAUGUGUCAUACAGCGAAAACCUCACAUUUCAGAGCAUGAGAGACAGAGAGAGAGAGGGGGCAGAGAAUGAGACAGAGAGAGAGGGUAGAGCGAAUGAGAGAGAGUGAGAUAGAAGGGGUUAGAGAGAAUGAGAGAAAGAGAGGGAGAGAGAUGAGGGUAGAGAAAGAGAGAGAGAGAGAGAACGAGAGAGGGAGAGAGAGAAAGAGAAGAGGGGUAGAGAGAGAGAGAGAGAGAGAGAGAGAGAGAAGAGGGAGGGGUAGAGAAAGAGAUGAGGGGUAAAGAGAGAGAGAGGGGUAGAGAGAGAGAAAGAGAGAGAUGAGGGGUAGAGAGAAGGGGGGUAGAGUGAGAGAGAAAAUGGGUAGAGAGAAAGAGAGAGGAGGGGUAGAGAGGGGUAGAGAGAGAGAGGUAGAGAGAGAGAGAGGGGUAGAGAGAGAGAGAAGAUGGGUAGAGAGAGAAAGAGAGAGGAGGGGUAGAGAGGGGUAGAGAGGGGUAGAGAGAGGGGGGUAGAGAGAGAGAAAGAGAGAGAGAAGAGGGGUAGAGAGAGAGAGAAGAUGGGUUGAGAGAGAAAGAGAGAGGAGGGGUAAAGAGAUGAGGGGGAGUAGAGAGAGAGAAGAGGGGUAAAGUACCGCAGCAUGAGAUGGAGAGACUCAUAUUGAAUUCAGCACCAGUGGAAAAAGGCAAUUUUUGAAAAGGUUCAUUUGUUUGUUUUUACAUAACAUUUUUUUUGUAUGACAAAAAGAUCCUCUUUUUAAAAAAUCUACACUGCCAUGUCUGUGAUGGGACCCCCAUAGCAUGUUUCAGAGGGUCUACACAGAGGUCUAUGGCUGCUUACGACCUUGUUGGAGAGCCACGACAGCGCCGUCCCACCCCCCUGUUCUCCCGGUAUAAAAGUUAAACAAGUGUCUUUGGCAGAUUUACAGAAAAGGUCCUCAUCUACUCUGGGACGCUACUGCUAGAAAUUACAAAGAUGUUAGAAACUGGUCAGAGACACACAAGAAGAGAGAGAGAGAGAGAGAGAGAGAGACUGAGACUGGUCAGAGACACACAAGAA
Molecule: long non-coding RNA, 2274 nt
Organism: Oncorhynchus tshawytscha (Chinook salmon)
Lineage: Eukaryota; Metazoa; Chordata; Actinopteri; Salmoniformes; Salmonidae
Source: Ensembl